RNAcentral lists this ribosomal RNA (347 nucleotides) under uncultured bacterium. Its description in RNAcentral is "bacterial SSU rRNA". It matches the Rfam family "Bacterial small subunit ribosomal RNA", at positions 1 to 334 of the family's 1533-position model. The record is from RNAcentral.
ACGUCUGUUCUCAGUAGUUGUCCUGGCUCAGGAUGAACGCUAGCUACAGGCUUAACACAUGCAAGUCGAGGGGCAGCAUGAAUAUUGGCUUGCCAAUAUUUGAUGGCGACCGGCGCACGGGUGAGUAACACGUAUCCAACCUUCCGGUUACUCGGGGAUAGGCUUUCGAAAGAAAGAUUAAUACCCGAUGUUGCGUAUCUUUCUCCUGAAAGAUACGCCAAAGGAUUCCGGUAACCGAUGGGGAUGCGUUCCAUUAGGCAGUUGGCGGGGUAACGGCCCACCAAACCUUCGAUGGAUAGGGGUUCUGAGAGGAAGGUCCCCCACAUUGGAACUGAGACACGGUCCAA